This 281-nucleotide long non-coding RNA is filed under the name Nicotiana benthamiana. Its description in RNAcentral is "long non-coding RNA (NBEN_LNC020924)". The record is from RNAcentral. Lineage: Eukaryota; Viridiplantae; Streptophyta; Magnoliopsida; Solanales; Solanaceae.
CAUCACGUAUUCUUGAACUAGGUAAUCGACUGCUUACUAAUGGAUUUCACGGGAAACUCUCACUUGGUUGGAAUGACAACACUGAUUCAGUCAGUUCCGUGAACACUGGAAUUAAUGAGCCAGUGAAUGAUUACCAGCAUUUUGUGGGUAGAACAUUUAACACUGAUUCAGUCAGUUCCUUGAACACUGGAAUUAAUGAGCCAGUGAAUGAUUACCAGCAUUUUGUGGGUAGAACAUUUUCCGGUAGAAUUAAAGGCUUCCCAGGAAGUGGAUCCUCGUUU